Molecule: long non-coding RNA, 1107 nt
Filed under: Prunus persica (peach)
Lineage: Eukaryota; Viridiplantae; Streptophyta; Magnoliopsida; Rosales; Rosaceae
Description: long non-coding RNA (PPER_LNC004362)
Source: RNAcentral
AUGAGGAGGAGGAGGAUGUGGUGGUGGUGGUGGUGGUGGCGGCGGUGGCAGUGGUUGUGGAGGUAGGGAAUGUGAUGAUGCAAGUUGUGGAGUUGGAUGUGCAAGUGGAAGUGGUGUCAUUUUUUAAAAUGAAUGAUGGUAUUUUGGGAAUAAAAAAAAUUUAUUAAAGAUUCAUCUCUGCUUCUUUUGAAAGCAGCUUUGAAAAGUACCCGAGAGCGUGCUUGUGAAAGCUUCUGUCAAAAAGUCACUGCUUUUAAAAAUAAUCAUGAUAUUUUAUUUUUACCGAAUACUUUAAAUUGCAUAACUUUAAAGUGAAGCAAGUUUUUGAUCAAAAAAAGCAAUCUCAAACGGGACCUAAAUAUAUAACUUUAAUUUUUCUAUACCGAAAAUACUAUUAUGGCACUAUCUCAAGUCAAUUCUCCAAAAAUUGCAUUUCGAUAACAUUUAAUCCCUUUUCAUACCAUUGUAUGACAACUAUUAAAUUGGUUACGUACCUAUCUACAAGUUGUGUUUGGCUACGUACUGCAUGAGAGAAACCAGUUUUUUUUUUUUUUUUUUUUUUGGGUCAACUGAGAGAAACCAGUUUGGUUUAUAUAUAGUGGCAUCUAAAAUUUGAUUGCCCACAAUUGAAGACGAUAAACGGCCAACCUUGUGAUCCCUCCCAUGAGUUCGCAUCUUUUCACUGUAUCCGACCAUUGACCUUUUUUUUUUUAAUGGAGUUCACAGUUUGCAACAUAGAAAAUGUAUAAAAAAUAUAUUCCACAUAAAAAAUAUUUGGAUCCAUAAUAAAUAAUGACCAAAUACAGAAAUAAAUAAUGUAUAAAAAAUUACAAGUAGACCGAAAAUAAGGAGAACAUAAAAUAUAAAAUAAAAAUAAGCUAUUGUAAUUAUUAUACGGAAGUUUUGGUUUAUUUGUAGCAUGCGUGGUAGGUACAAUUAUUUUUGUUUUUUUUAAUGAGUGUUGCUAUUUGGAUCCAUAAUAAAUAAUGACCAAAUAUAGAAAUAAAUAAUGUAUAAAAAAUUACAAGUAGACCAAAAAUAAGGAGAACAUAAAAUAUAAAAGAAACAUAAGCUAUUGUAAUUAUUUUACGGAAGUGUUGGUUUAUU